RNA transcript from Zea mays, 1205 nucleotides. RefSeq lists it as uncharacterized. The record is from RefSeq and is a predicted model, not a curated record. The transcript is spliced from 4 exons. NCBI's taxonomy places the organism in Eukaryota, Viridiplantae, Streptophyta, Magnoliopsida, Poales, Poaceae.
AUUUAUCAUAUUUAAAUCAGUCUUCUUAACCCUGAAAACUACAAAAUAUCUCAUUAGCCAUACCUGCCAUUCAUAUAAUCAUAUCCUUUUCAGUGACAUGUCUUAACUUUCCACUUUGAGAUAGAGAGCAUGACUGUCUACUAUAUUUUGUUGCCUCAAUCAAAUAGAUAAGAAGCUUUGUGCAUAUGGCCAACGACGCCUUCGGCAGGAGAGUCGCCAAACUUCUUGGCGAUGUCUUUCAUGUGUUGCUUUUAGUUCUUUUAAAGACUCCUCUGAGUGUUGUAUCUGACCGAGAACAAUUAUUUCGUGAUGAUUGGGGUAAUUGGGCUGCCCGGUGUAGGCAAGUCAACCAUCAUGAACGAGCUUUAUUAAUAUGAUGCAAGCUACCUGUGACAAAAACGAUUCCAAGAAACCACUUCUUGUCUUCCUCCACUGGCUGUCUGUCAUCUUGCUCUAAAACAAUCGCAGUCCUGCAAGUUGUUGCUGCUGCUCCUACCCCUGCCUCUGCAAUUGGGUUUGAGGGAUAUGAGAAGCGCCUCGAGAUCAGCUUCUAUGAGGCACCUGUCUUCGCUGACCCCAACGGAAGGGGAUUGUGUGCACUCUUGCGUCCCUAGAUUUACUCUAUUUCUGACCAUGCACGGUGCACCGUUGUCUCUGAGCUAUCAAACGAGGACUUUGACUCUUAUGUCUUAUCUGAGUCAAGCCUGUUUGUCUACCCAUACAAGAUUCUGAUCAAGACCUGUGGGACUACAAAGCUUCUGCUCGGUAUUCUGAGGAUCCUUGAGCUUGCUAAAGAGCUCUCAUUGCCACUUGUUGCAGCUAAAUACUCCCGUGGGACAUUCAUAUUCCCUGAUGCACAACCUUCCCCACACAAGAACUUUGAUGAUGAGGUUACCUUCCUAAAUCACUUCUUCGAUGGCCUCAGGUUUGGUGGUAAUGCUUAUGUGAUUGGUGAUUCUGCAAAGCAUAAGCAGAAGUGGCACGUCUACUAUGCCACCACUGAGCACCCCUAAGGAGCUUGUUGUUACUCUUGAGAUGUGCAUGACUAGGCUGGACAAGAAGAGAGCUUAUGUCUUCUUCAAGACCUCUAUUGAUGGUUACACAUCUUGUGCUAAGGAUAUGACCAAGCCUUCAGUGAUUGUCAUAGCCUUCUAUUUAUUAUUUCUUCUGAAUUCGAGUUUCAAGACAAAGAACAUAUUUAAGAA